This 471-nucleotide ribosomal RNA is filed under the name uncultured Chloroflexota bacterium. Its description in RNAcentral is "bacterial SSU rRNA". It matches the Rfam family "Bacterial small subunit ribosomal RNA", at positions 898 to 1382 of the family's 1533-position model. The record is from RNAcentral. Lineage: Bacteria; Bacillati; Chloroflexota.
AACUCAAAGGAAUUGACGGGGCCCGCACAAGCAGCGGAGCGUGUGGUUUAAUUCGAUGAUACGCGAAGAACCUUACCUGGUCUUGACAUGCACGUGGUACUGAUUCGAAAGAUGAGGGACCCUUCGGGGAGCGUGCACAGGUGUUGCACGGCCGUCGUCAGCUCGUGCCGUGAGGUGUUGGGUUAAGUCUCGCAACGAGCGCAACCCCCGUCGCCAGUUGUAUUUUUCUGGCGAGACUGCCGGGAAAUCCCCGGAGGAAGGAGGGGAUGAUGUCAGGUCAGCGUGGCCCUUACGACCAGGGCUACACACACGCUACAAUGGGUGGUACAGAGGGUCGCGAAGCCGCGAGGUGGAGCUAAUCCCACAAAGCCAUCCUCAGUUCGGAUUGCAGGCUGAAACUCGCCUGCAUGAAGCCGGAGUUGCUAGUAACCGCAGGUCAGCACUACUGCGGUGAAUACGUUCCCGGGCCUU